Molecule: unclassified non-coding RNA, 296 nt
Filed under: uncultured fungus
Lineage: Eukaryota; Fungi
Description: sequence contains ITS1
Source: RNAcentral
GUUUCUUCAAUUUUAUAAAAAUUUUAGAAAAAUUACUCGGUAAAAAAAAUGGCAAAGUGUUUAUACAAGUUUAGUCGCCUGACAGCCCAAAAAAAAAGGAUGAGGCCCCAAAAAACUACUAAAAAAAGUAGCCUGGGGAACCCCCUCCUCUUUUUUUUUUGGAGGGCUGCCAAACAAAAUACGGUAAACAGUUCACAAGUGGGGUUAGCCGUUAAAGAGAAAGGGAGAAAACGAGUUUUGUCCCUUUCCCCGGCGUUUAUUUAUUAAUGAUCCAACCGCAGGUUCACCUACGGUUA